Molecule: long non-coding RNA, 342 nt
Organism: Astatotilapia calliptera (eastern happy)
Lineage: Eukaryota; Metazoa; Chordata; Actinopteri; Cichliformes; Cichlidae
Source: Ensembl
CGGCAGGGUGGAGCCUGAUGAGUGUUGUGUGAGGUCGGCUGGGUUCCUGUUUGUGCAUUUAUGGCAGUCCAUCUGUGUUAAUGCGUUAGGGCAAGAAGCAGUUUGUGUGUGUAUGUGUGUGGAUAUAAAAAGGGCAUGAAGUUCUUCAUCUGAAAUGGCCAUCACUUGACACCACGAUGUAGCGGUUAACACAAUGAUGUUCCCAUUUCAAGAUUGGGAAGAAAUACAAACCCAGCCUCAGGGAGUCACAAGCUACUGUACUCCAGUGCUGGUCCCAAACCUGGAUAAAUGGCAGAGUUGCAUCAGGAAGGGCAUCCCUCAUCAAGUCUCUGCCAAUCAAAC